AUGCCAGGACGGCCGCCGCUCCGCUCAGAGCCCCCUCUCGGCGGCUGGCCGGGUCUCGCCCGCGCCGCCGGGGCGCUGACUCAGCCGCAGCCCGCCCAGCCCGGCUUGGGCAGCGCCCCCCGCGCCACCGACCAGCACGCGCCGCAGCGAGCGCACCGGACUGCCUCGCCAGCUGCUGCCAGUUUGGGUCCCUGCUUUCUAAAGGAAAGGCCACUGCUCUCUCUGGCUUCCAGCUGUGAUGUCUGGUCACCCCCGCCUCCCUCCUGAAGCAGCCGCACCCAGGGUGCAUGCCCACCCAGUGGCCCUUAUGAAGUGGUGAUCACUCUGACCAGCAGGGGUGGAAGAUGGUACCAGUCAACGCUGUGCCGGAGGAGGAGCCAGAAGCUGCCACUGAGAGAUGGAGGACCCCACGCCUGAGCCCGUCUACGUGGACGUGGACAAAGGACUGACCUUGGCCUGCUUCGUCUUCCUCUGCCUGUUCCUCGUCGUGAUGAUCAUCCGCUGCGCCAAGGUCAUCAUGGACCCUUACAGCGCCAUCCCCACGUCCACCUGGGAGGAGCAGCACCUGGACGACUGAGGCGCGGGCGGGCAGAGGCAGUGGGGAGGGACCAAGACCCUGGCGCUCUCUGGACGAGGUUGCCCCGGGACACACCUCCGUCCCCUGGCCACCAGCCUGCUAGCGCCUGGGGGCAGGCGGGAACAGAUUCGGCUACUAGGGGUGGAGGUGGCUCAACUUAGCCUUGUCCACUCCCACACGAGCAGCAGGUUGAGAUGCGUGGGAUGCUGUGGGCGGUGCCAUGGCCAGCCAGUCUGGGGAUGAGAGGUCUGCGAGUCAGUAGGCCCGGGUUCCAGGCUGGGGACUCAGUGUGAGACUAUGGGCGGUCACCUUCCCUGGCUCCCAAACCCCAUUUGGCAUUGGAUACAGGACAUAUCAUGUAACAGUGGUCCAGUUUUGAGGAGACCCUUGCCCUGAUCAUGCCAAGAAGCACACGUACUAGCCCCAGGGUUGCACAGCACAGACAUCCACCUGAAACCCAGCCCCUUCCCAAUGGGCUGGCAGUGGAGCCAGGGUGGUGACCCAGGGAAGCAGAUGGAUUCAAAUUCACAAAAGGCAGAGGGGCUGCUUCCCAGCAAUAUUUUUUUAAACUAAAAUAUAGAAGGGUAUAUUUUUUCCUGUUAUAAAUGAAAUGUGUAUUUUAGAAGUUUGGAAAAAUACAGAAAAAUAAUAGAAGGAAAGGGGGAAAAUAAUACUUAUAAUUCCACUUCCCCAAAGCCGCCAUCUUGAUAUAUUUUCUCUCAGUAUUUUUACAUAUAUUUUUCAAUAGUCAAACUGUGUGCAUUGUGUUGCAUCACUUCAUGUUAGAGCAUGAACACUUUCUCAUGUCAUCAAACUCUUCAGUUCAGUUCAGUUCACUUCAGUUGCUCAGUCACGUCCGACUCUUUGUGACCCCAUGAACCACAGCACGCCAGGCCUCCCUGUCCAUCACCAACUCCCGGAGUCUACCCAAAUCCAUGUCCAUCGAGUCGGUGAUGCCAUCCAGCCAUCUCAUCCUCUAUCAUCGCCUUCUCCUCUUGCCCUCAAUUUUUUCCAGCAUCACAGUCUUUUCAAAUGAGUCAGUUCUUCGCAUCAGGUGGCCAAAAUAUUGGAGUUUCAGCUUCAACAUCAGUCCUUCCAGUGAACACCCAAGACUUAUCUCCUUUGGGCUGUACUAGUUGGAUCUCCUUGCAGUCCAAGAGACUCUCAAGAGUCUUCUCCAACAUCACAGUUAGAAAGCAUCAAUUCUUCGGCGCUCAGCUUUCUUUAUAGUCCAACUCUCACAUCCAUACAUGACUACUGGAAAAACCAUAGCCUUGACUAGAUGGACCUUUGUUGGCAAAGUAAUGUUCUGCUUUUUAAUAUGCUGUCUAGGCUGGUUAUAGCCAUCAUUUUUACUGGCUACAGAGUAUUCCAUUGGUGGAUAGGUCAUGGUGUAAUAAUUAUCUCUGUUGGUCAUAUGUUUCUUUUUUUCCCCCACUAUUCUUCAUGAAAAAUUAUUUCACCCAGUGACCUCUUGAGAGCACACAGUAUAUGAGAUGAAUAUCAGACAGGAAGACCUGGGUUCUACUCAUGUCUGUCACUCUAAGGCUGUGUGACCUUGAGCAAGUCACUCUCUGUACCUCCAUCCCCUCGUUGUAUAAAGGAGGAGGAAAAACCUUGCCCUUUUUGUUUUGUGUAAGCCUCAUGUGAAUGAAAGGGCAGGAGGGGAGUGCUUUGAAUGUAAAUGUGCCGUGGGGGGAGACAAGGAAUAAGUUGUUGAUUAUAAUGACUCCUUUCCCUCUUUUCCCACCCUUCUCGCCCCUCACACUCCAUCACCUAAAUCUACGACCUUGCAGCAAGAAUAGUGGACCAGAGUCCACAAACCUGGUCCCGAGUCCCAGCUCCUCUACUUUCUUGCCCUAUGAUCCCAAAUAACUCAGCCUCUCUGAUCCCCAAUUUCUUCAUCUGUAAAAUGAGGGAAUAACAUCUACCUCACAAGGUUGUUGUGAGGAUGAAAUGAGAGAACAUGUCUUUUUUUGAUUUUUACCACCCCCAGGAGAAGCCAGAGGUCUGAACUGGGAGAAUGAGGGGUCUGGAUUCCCCUCUCUCAGAGGAACCUGGAACCCUGGGUUUUCCUUGGUUCCCAGGGCCCUUCUGAAAGACCAGACCUCCUGGCCAGGACCUGGUCAGAGGAAUGCUCUCAGCAACCUCUCCCACCCAGCACCUGACCUCAAGAAAUAUGGUGUUUAUUAAUUUACAUAAUCAUCAUUAUCAUCAGUAAUCCUGCAAACACAAUAUGCAGUUAAAUGAGACCGCCUGAACACCCCCUGAUUCUGAAGGUAUUUAUUCUAUCCCUCUAAGGCAUGCCUGCCAUCUCCCUCAGAAGUGACCUGCAGCUGGGAAGAAGCUCAAGGCUCCCUUCGCAUCACCCACAUCCCCGCCAUCAGUACCACCCCAUCCCGGGUCACCUGGGAAAUAGCUUUCCAAAGCACUAUCACCACUAGGUGACCACCUUGAAAGUGAACAAGGGCACCGCUGUUCAGGCGGCAUUCCAGGGCAUUUCCAGCUGUUCCCCAUGCCACCUUCCACGCUGUGGGAUGCAGUAAGGGACAGCUGGCAAAGGCAGUGGGCUAAAAUGCAUUGGAGGCUCCGUCUGAGGGGACGGACCAGAGCAAGGACCCUGCACAUUGCCUCAGGCCCAGCAGCAGCCUUCACUCUGCAGACUACCUCAGAGAUACCAAGCACUUCUGUGAACAGCUCAUCAGCAUGGAUUUACAGUGCCAGUCAGAACCAACUCCCAAUCAGCAAAGAUCCUGAGGAACAAGAGAUCUUGAAGACCUCACUUGGAGAUAUUUUAGAGCUCUAAGGAGUGAACAACAGGUGCCCGAGGGCUGUACUACUCAAACCCUGAUGAAGGACAAAUAGCACCUGCAGCAUUGAGGAACUUUCUAGAAAUCCAAAAUCAUGGACCCCCCACUCCAGACCUCCAGAACUCUAAUCUCUGCAGGUGGGGCCCAGAAAUCUCUUAGCAAGAUCCACCGAGUGAUUUCUAUGCAGGAACAUGAGCUUCCCAGGUGGCUCAGUGGUAAAGCAUCCUCCUGCCAAUGCAGGAAACUCAAGUUCUAUCCCUGAAUUGGGAAGAUCCCCUGGAGGAGGAAAUGGCAACCCACUCCAGUGUUCUUGCCUGGAAAAUCCCAUGGACAGAGGAGCCUCGCAGACUACAGUCCAGGGUGGUCACAAAAAGUCAGAUGUGACUGAGCAUGCACACACAUUAAUUAAAUGCAUCAAUAUGUUUUUAGAGAAGGAUCAAUAGUAUGGAUCAUAUCAAUAGAUCAUAGAAGGAUCAUAUCAAUAAUAUGAUCAAUUAGUUUGAGAAGCACUGCCUUGAGGGUCCUCUGGUCUCACUUAUUUCUUUCCCACACCUAGAGUUGUUAAUAUUUCCCACCCUAUCUCUUUUGACUUUUUUGGUGGCAAAGGGAAAUAGUAACAUUUCAGCAAAAGAUGGAAAAUUUCAAAAUCACUCCUAUUAUAAGCCUCCAGAUAAUAGUGAUUUCCAUUGUGCGUCCAUGUGUUCCCUUCUCAUCUUUGUCCACAUGCAAAAUAUAUUUUUUCAUAAAAGCCUUCUGUUACAGUAUUUUAAUCAGUAUCUCAUAACAUUUCUUCAUAAGCAUGUUUCUGCUACAGUCUUCCUAUUUAUCAUUUUAGUGGCUAUAAACCAUACCAUCUAGUGCAUGUGCAUAGUUAUCCAGAAUCCUAUUAUUAAGCAUAUGGAUUGCUUUCAUUUUUCCCUAGUAUAUAUGUUGCAAAAUAAAAAUAAAGAAAGCUUAAGACAGAUAUGAUGAACCCUGGGGCUUGCUCAGGAUGGUGGAUAAUAAAUAUUUAAAUAACACCCGCUGCACCUUAGAGACACAUGGGGGAGGGAGAGCCAUCUAAAUAUUUGAUCAUAAUAAGGGAAAACCCAACUGAAAUUUCAAGCUUUUGUUGUUGCUUUAGCUACUAAAGGAUGGAGGAGAUGGUCCUUUGUCAUCAGAGCAUCUUAGCCAGUUUGUAGCUGGCUGAGAUGAAGUUAGGGCUUGGGAUGGAGAGGUAAACUGUUCAGCAAAAGAAAUGGAGAGAAUUUUUGAAGACUGGAAGCUGGCAGAAAGAAAAUGAAAAACAUCAGAGAGAAAGAGGUGUUGACCUCCUCAACCCAGGAUUUAAGGCAAAAUAUGAUCAGAGAAAAAGUCCCCCUGCAGGGUACGGGUGACGGGGUCUCCAGACAGUGGUGUUUGGUGGUUGAUUUUAAGUUGUUGCCUGUUCUGUGCUCUACUCCAGUCCCUUCCUGUUACCCCAAACCCUCAGUAAAGUCUGAUACACAAUCC
Molecule: long non-coding RNA, 4878 nt
Filed under: Bos indicus x Bos taurus (hybrid cattle)
Lineage: Eukaryota; Metazoa; Chordata; Mammalia; Artiodactyla; Bovidae
Description: lncRNA (ENSBIXG00005015183.1)
Source: RNAcentral